Long non-coding RNA from Leopardus geoffroyi (Geoffroy's cat), 1833 nucleotides. RefSeq lists it as uncharacterized. The transcript has 3 exons. Lineage: Eukaryota; Metazoa; Chordata; Mammalia; Carnivora; Felidae. The record is from RefSeq and is a predicted model, not a curated record.
UUCCCUCCAAACUCUCCUGGCCCUGUGCUGCCGUGGCCCAUGGAGCUGAAGCGUGGGAGGGAGAGAUUAGAGCACGGAGCCCACUGAAGCCCACAGUCCCCUUCUGAAUUCACUUCACCAUGUCCAUAGGGUAUGGGGCUCCAGGAUGACACAUAGUCUGUGGGGGCAUUUCUCCCGAGAAACAGCCUGGCAGCCUCGUCAAUCCCUUGUAUAAAAAAUGGAGUCAACACGUUCAGACGGUCAUAUACCCCGGGGGGUCCUAAUCCUCAACCUACCUCUUAACUCUAAAGGUUAUUUCACCAAGAGCAUCCCACCAGUCCAUCAUGCUGCCCAGAGCUUUGAGAGAGGACCCACGAUCCCCCUGGGGACCAAAAAUGCUAAAAUAGGAACAGGCCUAAUCCUCCUCUUGGCCUCACCGUGACUUAAGCUGAAAGGAGUGGGGAGACCUGGGACCUGGUUGGUCAAGGCUUUCCAUCCCCCUCAGACUUCCCUUCAAAAGGGCAAAGCCACUCACAGGCACCCACACUCUGAAACCUCAAUUUUGGUAAGUGGCCUGAAUCAUUACCGCAACCAAACCUUCUCUAUGAAGUGUUUACAAAUAGAAAAAUUGUCCGGUUCUAAUUCUGUUUGAUUGAUUCUGCCAAAGGAGAAGGGAAGAAUGAAAGUCUGGGUAAUCCACAAACUAGAAAAUUGGUGUCUGAUGAGAGCCGACGGUAUCUUCUUGGAGGCCAUGCAAGGCCAACAGCACUGGCCUACUUUUGUUCUGAAACCUCCCAUCCCGGAGCCACAAUUGCUACCACUUUGGUGGCAGAAGGAAGAUGUUUAUCCUUCACAAAGACAGCAAGCUUUCCAGCCCCUUCUGUAAUCUCCCAGGCCACUAAGGGGCCAGCCACAUGGUGUCGGCAGAUGCAGAGAGGGGCUGGCAAUUCUCAUACCAGGAAUUCCUCCGCUGUCCUUCCAGCAUCAAUUACAGAUCGCCUCCCUUCCUUCCAGCGGCAGAGAACCUGAGGCUUCGCUCCUGACUCCCAGCUUCCCACCCAGGCCUGACAGCAAUUUGUAACCCCCGCUUACACAGGCUCUCUUGCUGUCUGCAUUUUUGUUUGGAAAAUGAGCAAUUUGCUGUUGGCCGCUUGGCUCCUCUGUGAAGUCGGCAGAAAGGACGGCUCACCGAGGGGGACAGAUGGUCAGCGAAAGCAAGAGUCAGACCAUCAAGCUCAUCGCCCAAGCCUUGCCCCCGCCUGGAUCCCGAGCCGUUACGGGAGAACUGUCACACAGAAGAUUCCAGAGGUGACUUGAAAUCUUCGGUUCCUUGCAAUGGGUAGCACAGAUGGCUGUUUAAGGAACCACAUGAAAGAGACACCGUGAAAGGAUGGAAUGCACAGAAUUCAAAUGUGGGAAUACGAUACAACCGAAAACGUCUUAAGACACCAGGAAAAUAUUACACUGUGAUUGUUAAGUGGAAAGAGCAAAGUUUCAGAAGAAUAAAUGAUGUAAAAUUUAUGUAAAAUUAUUAACAUAAUGUAUGUUUUUUAACAUAAUGUAUGUAUGUUUUUAUGUAUGUUUACAUAAAAUGUAUGUAAAAUUAUUAACAUAAUGUAUCACACAGUCAGUACUUAAAGUAUGUAAGUCAUUAUCACUCUUACCUCUCCUUGGAGCCCAGAUCCAAAACCAUUUCCCUUAUCUGAUUGUCCAGACGGAGAUAAUCCCUCCUUACAGCUCCGUAUAGCCAGCCCGACUUUAGCAUGUACGACUAUAUACCUUGGAUUAUUUUCAUUUAUGGUAUGUUUUAAAUGUCACCUGAUAAUAAAUAUUCCUCCUUCUCGUUUUGCUUCA